RNAcentral lists this unclassified non-coding RNA (246 nucleotides) under Tubeufia sp. Its description in RNAcentral is "partial contains 5.8S ribosomal RNA, internal transcribed spacer 2, and large subunit ribosomal RNA". Lineage: Eukaryota; Fungi; Ascomycota; Dothideomycetes; Tubeufiales; Tubeufiaceae. The record is from RNAcentral.
CGCACAUUGCGCCCUUUGGUAUUCCGAGGGGCAUGUCUGUUCGAGCGUCAUUUCAACCCUCAAGCUUCUGCUUGGUAUUGGGCUUCAUCCGCCUAAGGAUGUGCCUAAAACUCAUUGGCGGUUGCACUUAGCUCCCUUGCGUAGUUAUUUUUUCUCGCUCUGGAAGUUUAGGUGUGACCCGCCUAAUAACCUUUUAUUAUUUCAAGGUUUGACCUCGGAUCAGAUAGGGAUACCCGCUGAACUUAA